This 397-nucleotide long non-coding RNA is filed under the name Setaria viridis. RNAcentral's name for it is "long non-coding RNA (SVIR_LNC010387)". Lineage: Eukaryota; Viridiplantae; Streptophyta; Magnoliopsida; Poales; Poaceae. The record is from RNAcentral.
UACGCGCACAGAAUGGAAAGGACCAUACGAUGGAUGAAAAGGACCAUACCAGGAACAGGACAUGGACGAAGACGACGUUGGUCAAUCCGUCCGUGGGAACUCAAGAGAGAGACUUUUCGCUGCGAUGCGACGAGCCGAUCGAUAUCGUCGAUCCCGCCUGCUGCCUUUAUUGUGACGGCGCAAGAUUUUGACGAUCAACGGAUGGAGCCAUUGGUGCAAGGACACGACCGACAGAAAAAAGGCAAAAAGCAGCAUAUAAUUUCCUUUUCAAUCAGUAAAAAAGAAUGCAAGUUGGCCUUGUUAAUGAUUAACUCUAACCGUUAACAACCCACUAGCUAGUAAGUAGUAAGUGCAUAACGACUCGGUAACAUGUUCGACAUUCAUACGUACUCCCUCC